This 76-nucleotide transfer RNA is filed under the name Propionibacterium sp. RNAcentral's name for it is "tRNA-Met". It matches the Rfam family "tRNA". From Rfam's summary of the family: Transfer RNA (tRNA) molecules are approximately 80 nucleotides in length. Lineage: Bacteria; Bacillati; Actinomycetota; Actinomycetes; Propionibacteriales; Propionibacteriaceae. The record is from RNAcentral. RNAcentral also lists the same sequence under 1 other name.
GGCGGGAUAGCUCAGGCGGUAGAGCAAACGGCUCAUAAUCGUUGUGUCACGGGUUCGAGUCCCGUUCCCGCUACCA